Molecule: long non-coding RNA, 2542 nt
Organism: Anguilla rostrata (American eel)
Lineage: Eukaryota; Metazoa; Chordata; Actinopteri; Anguilliformes; Anguillidae
Exons: 3
Source: RefSeq, a predicted model, not a curated record
GAACAAGCUAGUUUCCACACUCAACCAAUCAGAAAAAAGGAUGAAAAAAAAUCAAUGUCUCUUGAAUGAAUUCACAGAGGCGGCGGAAACCCAGCGCGGGCAGAACGAACAAAACAGAGCGCCUGUUGAGAAGCAAUUGGAUAUAAGUGAAGGAUGCAAUGGGGGAUUCGUUGGCCUGAGGCAUUAAGGAGGGAGGACUGGGAGGAAGCCGACGUGUGUCCGGAUGUCCCGACCGCAUUCCUCCGGUCAGGUGAUAGUUUAGGUCUUCCCAGGUUUCGGAAGACUGGCUGGGUCACCAAAUAAAUCGGCACUUGCUGAGCAAGACUGCAUCCUGGAGCAUACGCCCAGACAAUGGCCCCCACAUCCUGGAAAGCCGCUGCAGAAAUCGCUGAGCAUGGAGGACGAACUGCUGUUGAUGAGGCAAAAAUGAGGUAUAAGAGAAGAAAAGAGAAGCGCUCUCACUCGGUCCAUAUUCUAUGUUUGCAGCUUCUUUUUCUUUCCCACAUUUUCUUUGUCUCUGUAAAUAAUUGAAGACAGACAGUAAAUGUGCUGUGGAACGUGUGAAACGGGAAAGUACUAGGUUACAGGAAAGAGGAGAGGAGGCACACUGACCUACUUGUUUUCUGGAAGUACUGCCCUAGAUUGGAUUGUGAGGAACUCUGCUCAUUCUUGGUUUUUCUUUUUUGUUUUUCAAAUAUUCUGUCCGAGCCUUAAUACAAACACGUUUUCUUGUUUUUUUGUCAUGCACAAAAAUAGCCACUGUCUUUUUGAAAUGAGGCAUACAUAGGGCAUGCAUAGUUGACAUAGUUUGGGUAGACUUACUGUAUAUUAAAACAUACAGUGCAGAAAGGGUAAUGUCAUUAAUUGGGGUUAAGCGUGGCAUCUAACCAAAAUGUAAAACCUGCCUGCAACUGUUUUUCUGCCUGCCUAGACUCAUACCAAUUACCAAUUUUUGGAAAGACACAAACAUAUUAAUAUCAAUGAUUUAUAAGACUUGUAGUUUUGAUUCUUAUUACAGCCUCUUGUCAAGUUACACAUUAACGUUCAUAACCCUCUUAUGUCACAUAAUUCAUGCCAAAAACAUCACAUGCUGUUUCCAGCAUAAUAUAAAGAAGUAAUUGUAAAAAAAGGAACGUCAUAAUGCACCAACCUUUAGUGCAGGGAGUAGAAGAAGCAGUAUGUUAUGGGUUGGAGCAUAAAUCUCUGCAAUAUGCAAACAUGCAUUGUUGAUGUACCCAUACUCAAACUGUGGCACACCUCAGCGUUUUCUGCAGGGGUUACGAGCUCAUCUCCGUGAAACACUGCUGCUGCCACACAUGCGCUCGCCUCAUUACCAUCACUGGCCCUGAGAGAGGGCCCACACCCGCUGCAUAUCCCCGCUGCUCAGAACCGUCUUACAUGGGCUCCUGAUUCCCAUAAUACUGGACUGAAUGGCCUUGAUGGGCUAACAUAUUCUCAUCGGUGAAUCUCAACCAAGGUGGUUUCAGCAAAAAAAAAUCAAAUUCCAUUUCAUUUUAUUUCUUGACUGUUGAAUACACUAUGGUUCUGUUGGAAUGAAAAGUGGCAUAUAAAUAAAAUGCAGGUGAUGUAUAAUACUACUAAUAAUAACAACCGCGAACAUCAAGACGUGGCAUUGACUUCAUUGCGGCAGUGUCUUGUGUGGGCCUAACACUUUCCUGGUGGGAAAAGCGUAAGUGUUGAAAUAGAAUUGCUCAAUGCAUGUAGUUAGUGAUAAACGAAUGACUAAUACCGAAUAACAUCGGCUAAGGAACAUUAAGACAGCGAAGACAAUGUUGGAGAUUACAAUCAUGCUUUUCUCUGAAAAAAUGCAGUUCAUUUACUUGUUUGUGCACACAUUUCUACUGUUUUAGAAGAAUCAAAGCCUCCUACUUAGGCAUCACAUGCAGAACUGCGCGUUCAGGAACACUGAGGAGAGCUGCUGUAAUCCCUGUCACGCAUCUGAAGGCAUGGCCAGGCUGUGUGCAUGAAAACAGCUGCUGUGGAGGUGGAGCAAAUCAGAUGCUGUUCACAUGUAGGCUAAGCUGCUCAUCAUUAUCAGAUGAGUAACAGGCAUAGGGGGAGAAGAGGUGUGUGUUUCAGCUGCCGGGAUCAAACGCCAUCGCACCCAUCUCCCCCGAUGACGAAUGUUAUGGAUGCAUGGGUAUGCGUGGCCAUUAUGGCUUGUCUGUCUUUUUUCGUCAUCAGAGAAAUUGGAAUGGAUGUGGUCCAGUAAAAACCUCAGAAAAGCAUGAACUGAAACAAUGAGGUGUUGAAUGCAAUGCUGUUGUUACCAUGUCUUUUUGUUCUUUUUCUGAGAAAAAACUGAAUUGUUCUUCUGAAUUAGUUUAUUACUUAUAAAUAGUGGGGUCAUAUAAAAUCACCAAUAAUGGUGAAAAAAUGGUAAUAUAUCACUUAGUUUCGCUAAGUGCCAAGUAUAUGUACUGUUUUGUGUUCCACGAUUUGGAGUACAUUUUCCAAAGAGAACCAGAUUGUGAGAAUUACUGUUCCUUUCCCUGUCAAUACAAAUUCAAUGCAUGUGGCC